GAUGAACGCUGGCGGCGUGCCUAAUACAUGCAAGUCGAGCGAACGGACGAGAAGCUUGCUUUUCUGAUGUUAGCGGCGGACGGGUGAGUAACACGUGGAUAACCUACCUAUAAGACUGGGAUAACUUCGGGAAACCGGAGCUAAUACCGGAUAAUAUUUUGAACCGCAUGGUUCAAAAGUGAAAGACGGUCUUGCUGUCACUUAUAGAUGGAUCCGCGCUGCAUUAGCUAGUUGGUAAGGUAACGGCUUACCAAGGCAACGAUGCAUAGCCGACCUGAGAGGGUGAUCGGCCACACUGGAACUGAGACACGGUCCAGACUCCUACGGGAGGCAGCAGUAGGGAAUCUUCCGCAAUGGGCGAAAGCCUGACGGAGCAACGCCGCGUGAGUGAUGAAGGUCUUCGGAUCGUAAAACUCUGUUAUUAGGGAAGAACAUAUGUGUAAGUAACUGUGCACAUCUUGACGGUACCUAAUCAGAAAGCCACGACUAACUACGUGCCAGCAGCCGCGGUAAUACGUAGGUGGCAAGCGUUAUCCGGAAUUAUUGGGCGUAAAGCGCGCGUAGGCGGUUUUUUAAGUCUGAUGUGAAAGCCCACGGCUCAACCGUGGAGGGUCAUUGGAAACUGGAAAACUUGAGUGCAGAAGAGGAAAGUGGAAUUCCAUGUGUAGCGGUGAAAUGCGCAGAGAUGUGGAGGAACACCAGUGGCGAAGGCGACUUUCUGGUCUGUAACUGACGCUGAUGUGCGAAAGCGUGGGGAUCAAACAGGAUUAGAUACCCUGGUAGUCCACGCCGUAAACGAUGAGUGCUAAGUGUUAGGGGGUUUCCGCCCCUUAGUGCUGCAGCUAACGCAUUAAGCACUCCGCCUGGGGAGUACGACCGCAAGGUUGAAACUCAAAGGAAUUGACGGGGGCCCGCACAAGCGGUGGAGCAUGUGGUUUAAUUCGAAGCAACGCGAAGAACCUUACCAAAUCUUGGCAUCCUUUGACAACUCUAGAGAUAGAGCCUUCCCCUUCGGGGGACAAAGUGACAGGUGGUGCAUGGUUGUCGUCAGCUCGUGUCGUGAGAUGUUGGGUUAAGUCCCGCAACGAGCGCAACCCUUAAGCUUAGUUGCCAUCAUUAAGUUGGGCACUCUAAGUUGACUGCCGGUGACAAACCGGAGGAAGGUGGGGAUGACGUCAAAUCAUCAUGCCCCUUAUGAUUUGGGCUACACACGUGCUACAAUGGACAAUACAAAGGGCAGCGAAACCGCGAGGUCAAGCAAAUCCCAUAAAGUUGUUCUCAGUUCGGAUUGUAGUCUGCAACUCGACUACAUGAAGCUGGAAUCGCUAGUAAUCGUAGAUCAGCAUGCUACGGUGAAUACGUUCCCGGGUCU
This 1372-nucleotide ribosomal RNA is filed under the name uncultured bacterium. Its description in RNAcentral is "bacterial SSU rRNA". It matches the Rfam family "Bacterial small subunit ribosomal RNA", at positions 28 to 1381 of the family's 1533-position model. The record is from RNAcentral.